RNAcentral lists this microRNA (21 nucleotides) under Zea mays. RNAcentral describes it as "zma-miR160a-3p". Its record names the gene zma-miR160a-3p. The record is from miRBase by way of RNAcentral. Lineage: Eukaryota; Viridiplantae; Streptophyta; Magnoliopsida; Poales; Poaceae.
GCGUGCAAGGGGCCAAGCAUG